This 1380-nucleotide ribosomal RNA is filed under the name Micrococcus sp. MF-1. RNAcentral describes it as "partial 16S rRNA". It matches the Rfam family "Bacterial small subunit ribosomal RNA". Lineage: Bacteria; Bacillati; Actinomycetota; Actinomycetes; Micrococcales; Micrococcaceae. The record is from RNAcentral.
AGAGUUUGAUCCUGGCUCAGGAUGAACGCUGGCGGCGUGCUUAACACAUGCAAGUCGAACGAUGAAGCCCAGCUUGCUGGGUGGAUUAGUGGCGAACGGGUGAGUAACACGUGAGUAACCUGCCCUUGACUCUGGGAUAAGCCUGGGAAACUGGGUCUAAUACCGGAUAGGAACGUCCACCGCAUGGUGGUUGUUGGAAAGAUUUAUCGGUCAUGGAUGGACUCGCGGCCUAUCAGCUUGUUGGUGAGGUAAUGGCUCACCAAGGCGACGACGGGUAGCCGGCCUGAGAGGGUGACCGGCCACACUGGGACUGAGACACGGCCCAGACUCCUACGGGAGGCAGCAGUGGGGAAUAUUGCACAAUGGGCGAAAGCCUGAUGCACCGACCCGCGUGAGGGAUGACGGCCUUAGGGUUGUAAACCUCUUUCAUAGGGAGAAGCGAAGUGACGUCCUGCAGAAGAAGCACCGGUUAACUACGUGCCAGCAGCCGCGGUAAUACGUAGGGUGCGAGCGUUAUCCGAUUAUUGGCGUAAAGAGCUCUAGGCGGUUUGUCCGCUCUGUCUGAAAUCCGGGCUUACCCCGAUCUCGCGGUGGACGGCAACAUAAGUCCUAGGGAACUGGAUUCCUGGGUACCGGGAAUGCCCAUUUCGGGGAACCCUUGGGACGGGGUUCUGGGUUUAAAGCCCUAAAUUCCACCGGUAAACUGGGACCUAGGGUGGGGGCACAUACCAGGUUUCGCCCCAAGUAAAGCCAUUAAUGCCCCCCUGGGAGUACGGCCGCCAAGCUAAAAUUCAAGAAUGACGGGGGCCCCGCAACGGCGGACCAUGCGGUUAAUUCGAUGCAACGGGAGAACCUUCCAAGGCUUGCAUGUUUCGAUCCCGUAGGAUACGGUUUCCCUUUGGGCGGGAUACCAGGUGGGUGCAUGGUUGUUGUCAACUCGGUCGUGAGAUGUUGGGUAAGUCCCGCAACGAGCGCAACCCUCGUUCCAUGUUGCCAGCACGUCAUGGUGGGGACUCAUGGGAGACUGCCGGGUCAACUCGGAGGAAGGUGGGGACGACGUCAAAUCAUCAUGCCCCUUAUGUNUUGGGCUUCACGCAUGCUACAAUGGCCGGUACAAUGGGUUGCGAUACUGUGAGGUGGAGCUAAUCCCAAAAAGCCGGUCUCAGUUCGGAUUGGGGUCUGCAACUCGACCCCAUGAAGUCGGAGUCGCUAGUAAUCGCAGAUCAGCAACGCUGCGGUGAAUACGUUCCCGGGCAUUGUACACACCGCCCGUCAAGUCACGAAAGUCGGUAACACCCGAAGCCGGUGGCCUAACCCUUGUGGGGGGAGCCGUCGAAGGUGGGACCAGCGAUUGGGACUAAGUCGUAACAAGGUAGCCGU